Molecule: long non-coding RNA, 393 nt
Organism: Bradysia coprophila
Lineage: Eukaryota; Metazoa; Arthropoda; Insecta; Diptera; Sciaridae
Source: RefSeq, a predicted model, not a curated record
UCGUGUCAUUCAAGUGACUAAAGUUGCUGGAAGUGCAGCUCUUCAAUUUAUUAAAAAGUUGUAACCGAAUAUUUAGAGCUUCUGAAACUUGAAGCUUUUUUCAUAAAAUUUUUUAUUGAAACAUCAAAACAAUGGUUAAAUUCACUUUCUUGCUACAUAUUUUGAUGACAUUGGCAUUGACGAUAGCUGUAUUCGCGACAGCAGUAUCCGCCGAUUGUGAGCCAAAGUGCCGUCCAGGUUAUCAUUGUGAGGGCAACUUAUGGAGGCCGGGCACAUUAGUAUGCAUACCGGAUGGCGCAAUGCAAUGAGAGCCAUUAUCUCUUGAGUUUUAAUGAAACGCCCAAUUCAUUUUAUCAAAAGUAAAAUGUUCCUUUCAAUAAACUAAUAAACGGA